UUCUUCCAUUAUAUCAACGGU
Non-coding RNA from Caenorhabditis elegans, 21 nucleotides. The record is from Ensembl. NCBI's taxonomy places the organism in Eukaryota, Metazoa, Nematoda, Chromadorea, Rhabditida, Rhabditidae.